AAAAUUAUAUUAGUUCGUUAUAUAUUAAUAAUAUUAUAAAAAACGCCUAAAUUGCGUUCCAUCGAAUUAUAACCUUUAUUUAUUUUUUUCCAAACCGGGAAACGAUUUUGGUAUAAUGGGAAUGCAAAUAAACGAUACGCUAAAUUUGGGGAAUUAAAAAUUUAUUAAAAAAGAGCAACGAAAAUUCGAAAAAACAAAUUUCCAAACCAAAUUAUAAACGAUUGUAAAAUUAAAAAACGAACAAAAUUUUAACGGUUAUCGAAUUAAAUUGCACGAAAACGGUUUAAAAAUUCGUUAAAAAGGCCAAAUAAAUAGGUUGGAAACAGUAAAACCGAAUUAAAUUGGAUCCGAAUACAAAUUCGUCGUUUAAAAGGCGCGAAAAGCAUACGUUGCAUCGAUUUAUUAACCGGAAACGGCGUUUAAUUUCGCCGCAGCGGCGCAAAUAAUAACGCCGGAUAAGGAAAAUUACGAAUUUAUAAAUAAACGUAUAAAUUGGCAAUUGGAAAACGCGCAAAAAAGGUUUUUUUACGUUCCCGUAAAUUUUAAAAAGGCGAAAUUGUUCGUAUUUGUCGACGGUUUUUUUGCGAAUAAUAAAAAUUUAAAUUUACAAAUCGGUUUUAUUAUUAUAUUGGGCAAUAAAAAUUCCGACGAAUAGGAAAUGGGUUUUCGCGUUAUUGGUAAUAUUUUAUAUUGGGUAUCGAACAAAUGCCACAAAAUAAUAAAAAACGUGUUAGUUAAUAAAAUUUAUAAUAUAAUAAACGGGUUUAAUAUAGGAUUUGUAUUAAAAAUUGCUAUCGCCACCAUUAUGGACCUAUUGGAUUUAUUUCCUGUACUUAUAAUUAUAUAUAUUAAUAAUUUGUCGUUGUACCAAUAUUUGGUACAAUUGGGAACGAUUUCGGAAAAACGAUUUAUAAUUAAUUUCCUGAAUUUGAAACAAUUGUACAAAAACAGGGAAAUUAACGAAAUUCGGUGGAUUUUUGGGAAAACCAACCCAGCUAAUAUAAUAACGAAAAAAACGCCGAAUCGGGUUUUAAAUAAAUUUGUAAAUACGAAUUUAACGUUUGUACAAAUUGAAAAAUAGGUUAAAAAAUUACGGGGUACGGAAGAAAUUCGCGGGGAUUCGGUUUAAAACAAAUUUAAUUAAAAUAUA
Molecule: small RNA, 1150 nt
Filed under: Pyricularia oryzae
Lineage: Eukaryota; Fungi; Ascomycota; Sordariomycetes; Magnaporthales; Pyriculariaceae
Description: Magnaporthe oryzae sRNA M_BR32_EuGene_00033621
Source: RNAcentral